RNAcentral lists this non-coding RNA (31 nucleotides) under Homo sapiens (human). The record is from RNAcentral. Lineage: Eukaryota; Metazoa; Chordata; Mammalia; Primates; Hominidae.
UGAGCGGUGGUGUUCAGAGUCCCCUACCAAU